Hemicordylus capensis (graceful crag lizard) is the source of this 1867-nucleotide long non-coding RNA. RefSeq lists it as uncharacterized. The transcript is spliced from 3 exons. Lineage: Eukaryota; Metazoa; Chordata; Lepidosauria; Squamata; Cordylidae. The record is from RefSeq and is a predicted model, not a curated record.
CAGCCAGGAAGGAGGAGGCAGCCAGAGAGGCCACCACUGUUCUUUGCAGCAGAAGACCCCUUGCUGCCAGAUUCAGGAAUGAAAAUGGUCCCCCGGAAGGAGAAUAUGAAGUAGAACUGCCACCAAAGUUUUACCUAAAGUCAAACUGGAUGCUCCUCCUCAGACAAAAGUACUUUCAAGGAAACAAAAGCAUAUUCUUCUCAGGAGUGUUUCACAUUCCCCUGUGUUAAGGUCUUUCCAAGAGCUCAGCGAGUGUCACUGAUAAAUUAUCCAUCAAGCCGGACAACCAACUAAUUUAAAAUAUCCUUGUCCAUCAGAGAUAUUGGUUUGGGUGGAGUGUUAAUCUUCACUGACUUGAAUUUAUGAAACAUUUCCUUAGGGUAAUGCAUGGCGUUUAUUGCAAUGAAUCACUUUGACAUUGUGUUAUAAUAUUUUAAACACUGAUUAAAAUAAUAAAGUCUUGUGGUGCCUUAAAGACUUAACACAUUUGUGGGGGUAACAUCUUAUGUAUCAAAUGCCUCUCGGCUCUUAACUAUACUUCUAACUGUUGCAUUAUUGCAUUGCAUUGAGGCUGCAGAUCAGAGUUAUAGAAGCAUAGAGUUUUAGUGUUAGAGGGGACUUUGGAGGUCUUCUAGUCCUACUCCCUGCUUAGAGCAGGAUAUUGCUACGGCAUCCCUGAUACCACCCUUCCAAAAAUGGCUUAGGGUGGUUAACAUUAAAAACAACACUAAAAUCAAUUAACUGUUAAAAUCAAAACUGUAAAAACCUAAAACUAUUAAAACAAUUAGUUUUUUAAAUCCUGGAAAACUAGGCCAAACCUUUACAGUUUAAAAACCCUGGAAAGCAGGGGCGUAACUACUAUUGGGCAAGGGGAGACAUUUGUCUCUGGGCUCACAGCCUUGAGGGGGCCCCCAGUGGCAAGUCACAUGAUAAUCGUCCCGGCUCCCCAGUGCCCAUGCUUCCUUCAGUGUUCAGGAGGUAUUCCUUCACUUUCUGUCUCUCUCGAGUCCCCUCCCUACUUUCUCCAUCUCCCUUUUGCUCCUCCUUUCCAACCCUGUCCUGGCUCCAUCCAGCCUGCCUUCUCUGGCAUCAGUCAGGGCUCUCAUUGGCUGGUGGGUGGAUGCAUCAGAGCCCUCUACAUGUGGAAGCAGAAAGAGAAAGCAAGAGAGGAUGCAGUGUGUGAGGGAUGCCCACGCCCCAUUUAUCGAGGCCGCUAUUCUCGACUUCCUGCCUUGCUGCUGGUUUAUGCGUCUGGCCACUGCUUCAUUCAUAGGCAGGGAGGGUGGCUGGCUGGCUGCUGUGUGUUUGUGUGCUAAGGAGGAGGAGAGGCAUGGAGCCUGACUCCUCAGGUGAGUGCUGGCUCCGACGGGCUCUUUCCUACUUUUUCUCAGGGCUUGGGAAAGUUGAGGGGGCUUGGUGCUGCUGCCACAGCCAAAAGGGACACCUGGUACUGUGCUUUAACAAAAGCCCGUACUGAAUUCAAAAUGCCCACAAGGUCAUCUUACGAGUGCCGUCCUAAUGCAGAAGGGCGUCAAGCAAGGUUGCAUUCUGGCCCCACUCCUAUUUAAUUUUUACAUCAACUCAAUGGUGGACCAGCUCAGCAACAUUGACUUCCAUCCUCCUAAACUCGCCGGGAGACACCUAGCCACCCUAGUAUAUGCAGAUGACGCAGUCAUCCUCUCAAGAACUCCCAUUGGCCUUAGAAGAGCAUUGAGGGCUCUGACACUGCACUGCAAGGAAGAUGGUCUGGAAAUCAAUUAUAACAAAACUAAAAUAAUGGCCUUUACUAGGAGGCCCAAGAUCCAUUCCUGGAGGAUUGAGGGACAUAAAAUUGAACAAUUGACUCAUUUUAAAUACCUGGGCAUAG